RNAcentral lists this ribosomal RNA (484 nucleotides) under uncultured bacterium. RNAcentral's name for it is "partial 16S ribosomal RNA". It matches the Rfam family "Bacterial small subunit ribosomal RNA", at positions 30 to 507 of the family's 1533-position model. The record is from RNAcentral.
AUUGAACGCUGGCGGCAGGCCUAACACAUGCAAGUCGAGCGGAUGAAGGGAGCUUGCUCCUGGAUUCAGCGGCGGACGGGCGAGUAAUGCCUAGGAAUCUGCCUGGUAGUGGGGGAUAACGUCCGGAAACGGGCGCUAAUACCGCAUACGUCCUGAGGGAGAAAGUGGGGGAUCUUCGGACCUCACGCUAUCAGAUGAGCCUAGGUCGGAUUAGCUAGUUGGUGGGGUAAAGGCCUACCAAGGCGACGAUCCGUAACUGGUCUGAGAGGAUGAUCAGUCACACUGGAACUGAGACACGGUCCAGACUCCUACGGGAGGCAGCAGUGGGGAAUAUUGGACAAUGGGCGAAAGCCUGAUCCAGCCAUGCCGCGUGGGUGAAGAAGGUCUUCGGGUUGUAAAGCCCUUUUAGUGGGGAAGAAAGGCAGGAAGUUAAUACCUUGCUGUUUUGACGGUACCCAAAGAAUAAGCACCGGCUAACUUCGUG